GUUUUUAUAAUUUAAAUAAAAUAUUGGUCUUGUAAAUCAAUUAUGGGAUUAAUCCCUAAAAACU
This 64-nucleotide transfer RNA is filed under the name Melanobaris laticollis. RNAcentral describes it as "tRNA-Thr". It matches the Rfam family "tRNA". From Rfam's summary of the family: Transfer RNA (tRNA) molecules are approximately 80 nucleotides in length. Their secondary structure includes four short double-helical elements and three loops (D, anti-codon, and T loops). The record is from RNAcentral. Lineage: Eukaryota; Metazoa; Arthropoda; Insecta; Coleoptera; Curculionidae.